RNAcentral lists this ribosomal RNA (468 nucleotides) under uncultured bacterium. Its description in RNAcentral is "partial 16S ribosomal RNA". It matches the Rfam family "Bacterial small subunit ribosomal RNA", at positions 28 to 507 of the family's 1533-position model. The record is from RNAcentral.
GACGAACGCUGGCGGCGUGCUUAACACAUGCAAGUCGAACGGAAAGGCCCUGCUUUUGUGGGGUGCUCGAGUGGCGAACGGGUGAGUAACACGUGAGUAACCUGCCCUUGACUUUGGGAUAACUUCGGGAAACGGGGGCAAAUACCGGAUAGGAGCUCCUGCUGCAGGGUGGGGGUGGGAAAGUUUCGGCGGUUGGGGAUGGACUCGCGGCUUAUCAGCUUGUUGGUGGGGUAGUGGCUUACCAAGGCUUUGACGGGUAGCCGGCCUGAGAGGGUGACCGGCCACAUUGGGACUGAGAUACGGCCCAGACUCCUACGGGAGGCAGCAGUGGGGAAUAUUGCACAAUGGGCGGAAGCCUGAUGCAGCAACGCCGCGUGCGGGAUGACGGCCUUCGGGUUGUAAACCGCUUUCGCCUGUGACGAAGCGUGAGUGACGGUAAUGGGUAAAGAAGCACCGGCUAACUACGUG